UCCAAAAUUAUUUAUUAGCUAAUAAUAAACACAUGUAACCAUUUAUAAGCAUAUCUAAUCCAUAUUAUUGCGAAUCCUAAGCAACACUUUUGAUCUGAAUUUUAAGUGGUAAAUAAAUGUGUUUAUUAACAGAGAAUGUUAAAAAAUAAACGGGAAUAAGUUCAUGUAACACUGAUUUACCGUUUGUCCUUGAUCGUUUACUUUGCAUGUCUUCCUCUUCCAGUUUUCGCCGCGAGCAUCGAAAAGCGCACGUGUUUUUUAUUGCGCACCGCGAAAUGUAGUUUUUUGAAUUUAAUUUUGUUUAGAUGGUGAAAAAUGUUGUUAAUUGAAUAAAGGCGAUUACCGGUCGUGUGAAAAGCAGCGUUUGUGCCUAUUUCUUCCUAAAUUCGCGGUAAUUUUGCGUUUUCUUUUCACUCGCGCGCAAAAUAUGUUUGUAUGUAUAGCAUCUGCAUGCUAACAUCCAUGUUGGCGUAUGUACAUAUGUUUGUAUGCAAGUGUGUGUAUUCCGCCAAAAGAUCAAUUUGUUUUUUUAUAUUUUUUUAUGGUGAACCAGUGAUUGUGAAAAUAUAUUCUAAAUAUUAGAGCGCAUCCAAUAUUAAUAUGCAGAGCCUUACUAUACAUCUCAUGUUUUAAUCUAUUUAAUAAAUUGUAUUACAGAAAUAAUGCUUUUAAUUACAUUACUCGAAAAUUAACAGAGGAUGUAAAAACAACAGUGGGGAACAAAGAGAGUGAGCUUUACCGUUAGUCCUUGGUCGUUCUCUGUUCAAGUCUUCCUCUUUCCUUUUUGCUUUGCGAUCAUCGAUAAAAUCACGUGUUUUUUAACUGCGCGCCGAGAAAUUAAGUUUAUUGAAUUUAGCAUUGUUUAAAAAGUUAAAAUUGUUAUUUAUUCGUUACAAGUGUUUACCGGCAUUGCGAUGCGAAGCGUUCAGAAGUUUCUCUUUCUUAAUUCGCGGUAAUUUUGCGUUUUCAAUCGCGCGUGAAAUAUGUUUGUAUGUAUAGCAAGUGCAUGUUAACAUACAUAUGUAUGUAGGUAUAGCAAGUGCAUAUUAACAUACAUAUGUAUGUAUGUAGCUGUUUGCGUUUUACACCAAAUGAGCUUCAGUGUUAUUUUUUUUUUUUUUUUUGUGGUGUACCAGUGUUAAAAAAGUGGCAAUAGUGGUUAUAUUCUCUUAUCCCUCAAUUUGUUUUAAUAUUUGUUUUCUGUGUAAGGCUGUGCUAAAAUAAAUAUUAAAGUGAUCCUCUCGCAAAUCGAAAACGUGAUAGUCAAUUAAAUGGAUAACACCGAGAUGCAUGCACACAAGGAACAAACACGACACUGGUCCCCUAAAGAUUGUGCUACAGGAAAGUUUUACCUAUAAACGUAGGCUAUGCGAAAUAAAGUAGUGCAGCAUUUAAGCGCUGCAGUUGGAGGCAAUUUUUCAUGCGUAUUAAGGGGAAAGGGCCAGGACGAAGACCAAGACCAAGGAUGAAGGACGCAGGACGCAGGACGGAAAGCUAACGAGCCGCAUGGCAGACAAAACUUUGCUGAAUUUAUCAACGAGUGUGUGUUUCUGUAUCUUUUGCAUUUAUGAAAAUGUAAUAAUAACAAAAGACGCAAUGCAGACGCGGCAGAAGAAAACUGGAAGCAAACACAGGACGUUCAGGACGAAAACGAAGGGCGGCGGCAACCAGGAUGUGCGGCAUAUGUGUGCGUGGCAACUCUAGACAAACAUAUGGCUCUCCGAAUGCACAAUGUAUCUGCAUCCGCAAGUGCUAUCUGCAUCUCUG
Long non-coding RNA from Drosophila santomea, 1767 nucleotides. RefSeq lists it as uncharacterized. The transcript has 4 exons. The record is from RefSeq and is a predicted model, not a curated record. Lineage: Eukaryota; Metazoa; Arthropoda; Insecta; Diptera; Drosophilidae.